Long non-coding RNA from Triticum aestivum (bread wheat), 3578 nucleotides. RefSeq lists it as uncharacterized. The record is from RefSeq and is a predicted model, not a curated record. NCBI's taxonomy places the organism in Eukaryota, Viridiplantae, Streptophyta, Magnoliopsida, Poales, Poaceae. The transcript has 9 exons.
GAAAACGACCCCAAAUCGAUCCACCCUUCUCUCCCCGCCGCGGCGCAACUCCUCUGGCGGCCGGCGAGCGAGCAGAGAUGAACGCCGCCGCUCCCGCCUCCCCUCUCAGCUUCUUACUCUUCCUCAAUCCAAUCUGCCGGCGGGGAAUUUCGGAUUCCAGCGAGAAGUGGCGCAUCGGCGAUCCUUUGGCGCGCGGCUGCGACAGAGCUCGUCGCUCCUCUUCCACGGCGACCGAUGGCGCAGGUCCCUUUCCUCCUCGAACGCUCGCUCAGCGUGCUCCGUUCCUCAGCCGCGGCACAAGCACAUCAAUUACAUUGCCAACAACCUGCCAGAUUUGUCUCAUUGCCAACAUAUCUGCAUCAGCUAGUAAAUCCAAAUUAAGCAGUACCAGUCCCAAAAUAAUUACUCUGGCCAGUGAAAGAAGCCAGUAUUCCGCGUGGGCUGUUCGAUGUACUACAGGGUGGUAGAUUUUGAAAGGAAGGAAUUCAUAUUUUAUUUGGACAAAGAGAUGAAGCCAGAAAGGAUUCGAUUCGGUAUAACACCAUCACCGAUGCAGACGACAAGGGGUUCAUCGCGCCAGGCACCUCGGCGUUGCUUCCGUGAGAUGGUGGCAGCGGCUACAGAAACAGCUACGUCUCUCUCUUUCCUUGCAGUUUCUGGAAUUGGGAGCGGAAGAAGGGGCGAGCGUUCCGGAGGUGGCAGGCGGCAAUAGAAGUUCAUCUGACCUUCGUUCCUGCAGCAUGGUUCGAAUCAAUUAAAGACCUGAGAUUCAGUGGUAGAAGCUGCAGACAACCAUCGCCGGCGAGGCACAAGAGGUUUCCACGGUCAGAUCUACAUUGAGGCGAGGCCAUGUCAAAGAAAACACCACUAGUUAUGUGUUUGCAGCCACCUCUGCUACAUUUUGUUGUAUCAUAUUUGAAGUUCAGUUUCAUGCUGGUCGCAAUUUCUUACGGAUUGGUGUAUUUUGUUGUAGGUAGUAAGAUCAUAAGAUACUAAUGGGCUCCCUGUAAUCCCAAAGGCACUGGCUAGUGGAUAGAUAUUUUUUACAAAAUCUUCUAGAGGCGCUUAAUUUUCUAUAUCGAAAACGACUGCUGGUUCCAUCCAACCUGUAUGGGAAUGAUCAUUGAGUAGGCCAAAAAGUUAGACAAUUUCCUGUGCUCAGAUUGUGCUAAAGAAAACGACACAAAGAGACCUACAAAUUCAUACCAGAGUUCACCAAGUUAUCAUUCUAAGGCCAGUGAUUAAUUUCCCUUUUCUUGACUGUACAGUUUAUUAAUAUUCUGCUUGCGGAUAGCUAUAUGCCUUUAUCUUAUCUUUUUAAAUUUAGUUUCAAGAAUUUCAUUUCCAAAGCUGGUGGUUAUUGUCUUUGUUUAUUCAAUAUUCCUGGGAAAAAUGUUUGGUGUUUAACUAAACAAGUACUCAUGUGUAGUUAAAAUUUGCUGUCAUGAGUUCCUUCAGUCUAUGCUGGGUACAGUGCCUUUUAAAGAAGAUUAUUAUAUUGUUUGUGCAGAACAUUAGUUAGUCAUUGCCAAGCAAUCUUACAUAUGUUGGCAAUAUUAAAUAGGUUGUUAUGGUCAUGUUCUUUGGUUGGAAACCCAAAUUUGGACCUUACGAUAUUAUCUUGGAAUAACAGAAGCCCUGACAAGAGUAAUUUAUAGAGUGUGGGGACAAUUUGUGAUCUGCUGGAUACCAAUAAUCAGUAAUAGGAUCUUCUUUGUAGAUCAUCAUCCCUGUUAAUGCAUGAUAUUGUCAUCCAUCAGCAUGUUCUCAGUUCAUGUAUUUCACAGUGAAGAUGAGCUUAAUAUAAUAUAUAGCUUAUUCAGCACAUACUGUGUAUAGUGCAUGAGAAGAUUUUGUGGCACAAGGCAUACAUGCCAUUUGAGAUGUGAUGCUCCUGUACUUAGAAGCACGCGGCUUGUCCUGAGAUGUGAAUCUCCUGUCCUUAGAAGCAUGGGGCUUAUCCUGGUUUUCUGUAUGCUCUUUGUUCUCCACAGAUUGUACUUAAACAAACUUGAUUAAAUCGAGAAAAUAAGCUAUCUUCGGAAAUCUCCUGAUCUACAUAGGAUAUCUGGUAUAUACUUCAAUUGCCCGUGUGAUUAUAUUUAUCAAUGUUAGAAAUAUUUUUCAUCCAUCAAAGGGAGAUUUUCGGAUGCAGACUAAAUUGUUUGUCAGAGAUUAUACUUAGAUAGACUGAUUAAAUUGAGCAAAAUAAGUUACCAUUGCAAAUCUCCUGAUCCACAUGCUAUUUGCCAAUGGUCGUCGCGCUUCAGUACUAGUUAGUGCAGUAGCAAGGUAGGAGUUGCUUAUAUGUGCGAAAUAUUCAAUUCAUAAUAUCUCAUAUCAAUAGACAGAGAUGCAUCAAUUCUUUUUCAUUAUUGAUUUUCAUAUCUGUCAUGUGCAGAGUGCCCAUCGAUUAGUUAUGUAGGUCGUGAGUGCGGUUGUAAAUUAUGCACUACUCUUGGUGGUUACUAGCCUUCAUCUCUACAAAAACAUCUAGUGAGGAGUCAUCUGUCUACAAAAAACAUGCAAUGAGGUUACUUGCUUCCCGUCAGAGAUUGAGGUUCCUAUGAGGUUACCAUCGGGAGAGUCAGGUUAUCCAUCACAUGUUUGUUCACAUGUCUCGGGGAACGAGAUGGGAACGAGAUGUGGUCAAACUACUCAGAAAUGUUUUGUACCCUUUAGCGCAUUUAUUUGCUAAUCUCCGGGUUGUUGCACAUGAUACAGUAGUGAAUUAGAUACAUUUUUUGUGCUUUUAGAAUGAUAGAAUUGAUGAAUUUUGGGCCCACCAUUUGGUACAACAGUAUAUUUUCUUCCUUGCAAAUACUGUGUGUUGCCUCUUUAUUCUACCUUCUGAAUGUUUCCGUCUGAAUUCUUUUAUAUUAUUUCUGAAUAACCAACCUCAACAACAGCCUGCUCAGGUUAUUUCUCGCUGUACAAAAAGCCGAUCUCUCACUUUUACAUUUGUUGGUAAAACAACAUUGUCAAUUCUAUUUGUUAACGGCACACUUAGGAAAUAUAAUGCCUUUGAGACUGAGCUUCUGUGAGGUUAUAUAAGUACCUAACGCUCAUUUUAUUUGCCGUUCCAAGUAUGUGUUGCAAAAGAGAGCAAAGGGAAUUUGGUUUCAGGUGCAGCAUUUUCUGCUAACAGCCAACCCGAAUAACAGCCUGCCUGGUUAAAUUCUUGCACUAAUAAGCAUUGGUUCCUAAAAACAACAUGGCACUUUACUGUACAAACACCUUGCUGCAUUAUAUCUUUGCUUUAAUUGUUCGAUAAUGGCUCUGUUGUAAUUUUUCGGCAAGUUGGAUUUGGAGUUCUACUUGUCUAAUGAUUUCUUCCUUGCGAAUUUUCCUGUGAAUUGGAGGAUGGGCGAGGCUAAGAAACUAACGGCAUUGGACUAGAACUGGCCUCUGAGUCAAAUAAGACCAACUCCAUACCUUUUUCGCCACCAAAACCAAAAUGCCUGGCCUGACCAGUCAACCAAAAACGAUGUGCUUUGUCCUAUCACCAAAGAUUUGAUUCACCGACAAGUAUGUGGAUUUGGGAUCCCAAAUUUUCCCACAACGGUAUCGAUGUCCUU